Molecule: non-coding RNA, 161 nt
Filed under: uncultured Prevotella sp.
Lineage: Bacteria; Pseudomonadati; Bacteroidota; Bacteroidia; Bacteroidales; Prevotellaceae
Source: RNAcentral
CAAGGUUCGCAUAACAGCGAUUAAAAGGGAAUGUGAGUGAGAAUCUCCAACUGUCCCGCAGCUGUGAGUUCCUUUAUAAGUCUCCAAGAUGACAUCCACUGUCAAUAAUGAUGGGAAGGAUUUGGAGAAUGGAACAAAGUCAGAAGACCUGCCUUGAAGAA